UACGUAGGAGGCAAGCGUUGUCCGGAAUUACUGGGCGUAAAGCGCGUGUAGGUGGUGGGACAAGUCUGCUGUGAAAUCCCCAGGCUUAACCUGGGAAGUGCGCGCGAAACUGACGAGCUUGAGUGCCGGAGAGGGUCGCGGAAUUCCCGGUGUAGAGGUGAAAUUCGUAGAUAUCGGGAGGAACACCAGUGGCGAAGGCGGCGACCUGGACGGACACUGACGCUGAGACGCGAAAGCGUGGGGAGCAAACAGG
This 253-nucleotide ribosomal RNA is filed under the name uncultured bacterium. RNAcentral's name for it is "partial 16S ribosomal RNA". It matches the Rfam family "Bacterial small subunit ribosomal RNA", at positions 524 to 776 of the family's 1533-position model. The record is from RNAcentral.